RNAcentral lists this ribosomal RNA (492 nucleotides) under uncultured bacterium. RNAcentral's name for it is "partial 16S ribosomal RNA". It matches the Rfam family "Bacterial small subunit ribosomal RNA", at positions 28 to 507 of the family's 1533-position model. The record is from RNAcentral.
GACGAACGCUGGCGGCGUGCUUAACACAUGCAAGUCGAACGGACAGGCCCCCACUUUUUUGGUGGGGGUGCUCGAGUGGCGAACGGGUGAGUAACACGUGGGCGAUCUGCCCUGUACUUCGGGAUAUGCUUGGGAAACUGGGACUAAUAGAGGAUAGGACCAUGGUUUAGUGUCUCAUGGUGGAAAAAUUAUUGCUUUGGUGUAGGAUGAGCUCGCGGCCUAUCAGCUUGUUGGUGGGGUAAUGGCCUACCAAGGCGUCGACAGGUAACCGGCCUGAGAGGGCGGACAGCCACAUAGGGACACACAUACGGGCCAGCCUCCGACGGGAGGCAGCGGUAGGGAAUAGCGCACGAUGGGCGCAAGCCUGAGGCAGCGACGCCGCGUGAGGAAGGACGGCCUUCGGGUAGUAAACUCCUUUCGUGAGGAACGAAGCCGCACGUUUUUUGGGUGUUGUGACGGUACCUUUGUUAAGAAGCACCGGCUAACUACGUG